This 539-nucleotide unclassified non-coding RNA is filed under the name Hevea brasiliensis (rubber tree). The record is from RNAcentral. Lineage: Eukaryota; Viridiplantae; Streptophyta; Magnoliopsida; Malpighiales; Euphorbiaceae.
UCGGUUUGAACUGAACUGAACUGAACCAAAUGGUCCAAACCAAAUUAAUUCAGUUUGAUUCAAUUUAGUUAUUUACUUAAAUCAGUUUCAAUUUUGUUUUAUAAUUUAGAAUAUCCGGUUUAUUCUAUUUGGUUCAGUUUUGAAUUGAAUCCGCCGAUUGCUCACCCCUAAAUUAGAAACCCAUAGAACAAUAAAAGAUGACACAUUCUUUCCAAUCUGGUAAGUUGCAGUCUGUCAACUAAAACCUAAGCAAAAAUAAUGGAAUUCAUUUCAUUUCACUGAAGCAAUAUCUGUCAAAAGGUCCGAAGAUUUACUGCAGAGAUGCUAAGUAACUUAAAUAAGGGCAAUUCACAUGCAACCUGGGCACACAAAAUUAUAGAGAAAGAAGUCGAACAAUGCUAGUAAAAGAAGCCUUCCUAAACAAGGUCAAGGUAAUUCGAAAAAUCCGCUAAAAAUUAUCCAUUUUCGCACAGUAAAACCUUAAAAAUGCCUAAAACACCUAGAAAUGGGCUAAAACCUAAGAAAUGAAGUAAGAAAAG